This 332-nucleotide unclassified non-coding RNA is filed under the name soil metagenome. RNAcentral describes it as "partial contains 5.8S ribosomal RNA, internal transcribed spacer 2, and large subunit ribosomal RNA". The stretch from base 1 to 120 matches the Rfam family "5.8S ribosomal RNA", at positions 35 to 154 of the family's 154-position model. The record is from RNAcentral.
GAUGAAGAACGCAGCAAAAUGCGAUAAGUAAUGUGAAUUGCAGAAUUCAGUGAAUCAUCGAAUCUUUGAACGCAUAUUGCGCCCGCCAGUAUUCUGGCGGGCAUGCCUGUUCGAGCGUCAUUUCAACCCUCAAGCACAGCUUGGUGUUGGGACUCGCGUUAAUUCGCGUUCCUCAAAUUGAUUGGCGGUCACGUCGAGCUUCCAUAGCGUAGUAGUAAAACCCUCGUUACUGGUAAUCGUCGCGGCCACGCCGUUAAACCCCAACUUCUGAAUGUUGACCUCGGAUCAGGUAGGAAUACCCGCUGAACUUAAGCAUAUCAAUAAGCGGAGGA